This 2047-nucleotide ribosomal RNA is filed under the name Acrostalagmus luteoalbus. RNAcentral's name for it is "eukaryotic LSU rRNA". It matches the Rfam family "Eukaryotic large subunit ribosomal RNA", at positions 74 to 2159 of the family's 3401-position model. Lineage: Eukaryota; Fungi; Ascomycota; Sordariomycetes; Glomerellales; Plectosphaerellaceae. The record is from RNAcentral.
AUUGCCUCAGUAACGGCGAGUGAAGCGGCAACAGCUCAAAUUUGAAAUCUGGCUCUUUCAGGGUCCGAAUUGUAAUUUGCAGAGGAUGCUUUGGGUGCGGGCGCCUUCCGAGUUCCCUGGAACGGGACGCCAUAGAGGGUGAGAGCCCCGUCUGGUAGGAUGCCCAGCCCGUGUAAAGCUCCCUCGACGAGUCGAGUAGUUUGGGAAUGCUGCUCUAAGGGGAGGUAUACUCCUUCCAAAGCUAAAUACCGGCUGGAGACCGAUAGCGCACAAGUAGAGUGAUCGAAAGAUGAAAAGCACUUUGAAAAGAGAGUCAAAUAGCACGUGAAAUUGUUGAAAGGGAAGCGCUCGCUACCAGACUUGGGUACGCGGUUCCGUAGGUGCUCCGCACCUGCGUACUCCUCGUGCCCAGGCCAGCAUCAGUUCUUCGUCGGGUUAAAAGGCUUCGGGAAUGUGGCUCGCCUCGGUGAGUGUUAUAGCCCGUUGUGUCAUGCCCGGUGGGGGACUGAGGUACGCGCUCCGCAAGGAUGCUGGCGUAAUGGUAGCUAGUGACCCGUCUUGAAACACGGACCAAGGAGUCAACCUUAUGUGCAAGUGCCCGGGCGUAAAACCCCAGCGCGGAAUGAAAGUGAACGUAGGUGAGAGCUUCGGCGCAUCACCGACCGAUCCUGAUGUCCUCGGACGGAUUUGAGUGUGAGCAUAUAGGGUUGGACCCGAAAGAAGAUGAACUAUGCGUGUGUAGGGUGAAGCCAGAGGAAACUCUGGUGGAGGCUCGCAGCGGUUCUGACGUGCAAAUCGAUCGUCAAACAUGCGCAUGGGGGCGAAAGACUAAUCGAAUCUUCUGGUAGCUGGUUUCCGCCGAAGUUUCCCUCAGGAUAGCAGUGUUGAUCCCAGUUUUAUGAGGUAAAGCGAAUGAUUAGGGACUCGGGGGCGCUUAUUAGCCUUCAUCCAUUCUCAAACUUUAAAUAUGUAAGAAGUCCUUGUUACUUUAUUGAACGUGGACGCUGGAAUGAAACAACACUAGUGGGCCAUUUUUGGUAAGCAGAACUGGCGAUGCGGGAUGAACCGAACGCGAGGUUAAGGUGCCGGAGUGGACGCUCAUCAGACACCACAAAAGGUGUUAGUACAUCUUGACAGCAGGACGGUGGCCAUGGAAGUCGGAAUCCGCUAAGGACUGUGUAACAACUCACCUGCCGAAUGUACUAGCCCUGAAAAUGGAUGGCGCUCAAGCGUCCCACCCAUACCUCGCCCUCGACGCGGGCUCGGCGCGUCGAGGAGUAGGCGGACGUGGAGGUCAGUGACAAAGCGUAGGGCGUGAGCCCGCGUGGAACGGCCUCUAGUGCAGAUCUUGGUGGUAGUAGCAAAUACUUCAAUGAGAACUUGAAGGACCGAAGUGGGGAAAGGUUCCAUGUGAACAGCGGUUGGACGUGGGUCAGUCGAUCCUAAGCUAUAGGGAAGUUCCGUUUCAAAGGGGCGCUUUUGCCCCGUAUAGCGAAAGGGAAGCUGGUUAAUAUUCCAGCACCUGGAUGUGGGUUUUGCGCGGCAACGCAACUGAACGCGGAGACGACGGCGGGGGCCCCGGGAAGAGUUCUCUUUUCUUCUUAACGGUCUAUCACCCUGGAAUCGGUUUGUCCGGAGAUAGGGUUCAACGGCCGGAAGAGCCCAGCGCUUCUGCUGGGUCCGGUGCGCUCUCGACGUCCCUUGAAAAUCCGCGGGAGGGAAUAAUUCUCACGCCAGGUCGUACUCAUAACCGCAGCAGGUCUCCAAGGUGAACAGCCUCUGGUUGAUAGAACAAUGUGGAUAAGGGAAGUCGGCAAAACAGAUCCGUAACUUCGGGAUAAGGAUUGGCUCUAAGGGUCGGGUACGUCGGGCCUCGAGUGGACGGUUCGGCGGCGGGAGGUCACUAGCUGGGCAACCAGCCGGGGGCUUCCUGCUGCUGGGCUCUGACGCCCUUGGCAGGCCUUUCGGCCGUCCGGCGUACGUUUAACGACCAACUUAGAACUGGCGCGGACAGGGGGAAUCUGACUGUCUAAUUAAAACAUAGCAU